UACGGAGGGAGCUAGCGUUGUUCGGAUAUACUGGGCGUAAAGCGCACGUAGGCGGCGCCGUAAGUCAGGGGUGAAAUCCCGGAGCUCAACUCCGGAACUGCCUUUGAAACUGCAGUGCUAGAAUCCUGGAGAGGCGAGUGGAAUUCCGAGUGUAGAGGUGAAAUUCGUAGAUAUUCGGAAGAACACCAGUGGCGAAGGCGACUCGCUGGACAGGUAUUGACGCUGAGGUGCGAAAGCGUGGGGAGCAAACAGG
RNAcentral lists this ribosomal RNA (253 nucleotides) under uncultured bacterium. RNAcentral describes it as "partial 16S ribosomal RNA". It matches the Rfam family "Bacterial small subunit ribosomal RNA", at positions 524 to 776 of the family's 1533-position model. The record is from RNAcentral. RNAcentral also lists the same sequence under 1 other name.